RNAcentral lists this ribosomal RNA (497 nucleotides) under uncultured bacterium. Its description in RNAcentral is "partial 16S ribosomal RNA". It matches the Rfam family "Bacterial small subunit ribosomal RNA", at positions 28 to 507 of the family's 1533-position model. The record is from RNAcentral.
GAUGAACGCUGGCGGCGUGCCUAAUACAUGCAAGUCGAGCGAACGGACGAGAAGCUUGCUUCUCUGAUGUUAGCGGCGGACGGGUGAGUAACACGUGGAUAACCUACCUAUAAGACUGGGAUAACUUCGGGAAACCGGAGCUAAUACCGGAUAAUAUUUUGAACCGUAUGGUUCAAAAGUGAAAGACGGUCUUGCUGUCACUUAUAGAUGGAUCCGCGCUGCAUUAGCUAGUUGGUAAGGUAACGGCUUACCAAGGCAACGAUGCAUAGCCGACCUGAGAGGGUGAUCGGCCACACUAGAACUGAGCCACGGUCCAGACUCCUACGGGAGGCAGCAGUAGGGAAUCUUCCGCAAUGGGCGAAAGCCUGACGGAGCAACGCCGCGUGAGUGAUGAAGGUCUUCGGAUCGUAAAACUCUGUUAUUAGGGAAGAACAUAUGUGUAAGUAACUGUGCACAUCUUGACGGUACCUAAUCAGAAAGCCACGGCUAACUACGUG